RNAcentral lists this ribosomal RNA (390 nucleotides) under Cardinium endosymbiont of Bemisia tabaci. RNAcentral describes it as "bacterial SSU rRNA". It matches the Rfam family "Bacterial small subunit ribosomal RNA", at positions 475 to 869 of the family's 1533-position model. Lineage: Bacteria; Pseudomonadati; Bacteroidota; Cytophagia; Cytophagales; Amoebophilaceae. The record is from RNAcentral.
UUACUGUAAGAAUAAGCACCGGCUAAUUCCGUGCCAGCAGCCGCGGUAAUACGGAAGGUGCAAGCGUUAUCCGGUUUUAUUGGGUUUAAAGGGUGCGUAGGCGGCUUAUUAAGUCAGUUGUGAAAUCCUAGUGCUUAACGCUAGAACUGCAAUUGAUACUAUUAGGCUUGAGUUAAGAAUAGGUAAGUAGAAUUUAUGGUGUAGUAGUGAAAUGCUUAGAUAUCAUAAGGAAUACCAAUAGCGUAGGCAGCUUACUGGUCUUUAACUGACGCUGAGGCACGAAAGCGUGGGGAGCAAACAGGAUUAGAUACCCUGGUAGUCCACGCCGUAAACGAUGAUCACUCGGUAUACAUAAAUUUAUGUGUGUCUAAGCGAAAGCGUUAAGUGAUC